This 259-nucleotide ribosomal RNA is filed under the name uncultured bacterium. RNAcentral's name for it is "partial 16S ribosomal RNA". It matches the Rfam family "Bacterial small subunit ribosomal RNA", at positions 1244 to 1500 of the family's 1533-position model. The record is from RNAcentral.
GGGCAGCCAAGUCGUGAGGCGGAGCUAAUCCCUUAAAGCCAUUCUCAGUUCGGAUUGUAGGCUGAAACUCGCCUACAUGAAGCUGGAGUUACUAGUAAUCGCAGAUCAGAAUGCUGCGGUGAAUGCGUUCCCGGGUCUUGUACACACCGCCCGUCACACCACGGAAGUUGGGGGCGCCCGAAGCCACUUAGCUAACCCUUUUGGGAAGCGAGUGCCGAAGGUGAAAUCAAUAACUGGGGUGAAGUCGUAACAAGGUACC